This 650-nucleotide ribosomal RNA is filed under the name Tyrannochthonius sp. 3566. RNAcentral describes it as "partial large subunit ribosomal RNA". Lineage: Eukaryota; Metazoa; Arthropoda; Arachnida; Pseudoscorpiones; Chthoniidae. The record is from RNAcentral.
AUAUUAUUAAGUGGAGGAAAAGAAACCAAAAGGGAUUCCCCCAGUAGCGGCGAGCGAAAAGGGACCGGCCCAAAGCCGAAUCCCGCGCCCCCCGGGCGUCGGGAAAUGUGGCGUAUGGGAGGCGAAUUCUUCCGCGCGUCGAGGGCGGCCCAAGUCCCCCUGAGCGGGGCAAAGACCGGAGCGGGUGCGAGUCCCGUACGGUCGCCCUCCUCGCGCCGAUCUUCCGUCCUCCCGGGAGUCGGGUUGCUUGAGAGUGCAGCCCAAAGUGGGUGGUAUGCUCCACCUAAGGCUAAAUAUCCCCGAGAGACCGAUAGCAAAAAAGUACMGUGAGGGAAAGUUGAAAAGAACUUUGAAGAGAGAGUUCAACAGUACGUGAAACCGCUCGGAGGCAAACGGGUGGGCCCUCGAAGUCCGAAGGCGGAGCGGUUCAGUCGGGUCCCCGGCGCACGCCGGUUCCGCCCGUGAGAGGCCGCGACCGGUCGGCCGAGGGUCGGAAGGACGGCCCGGCGAAAAGGUGGCCCGCACCCCUCGGGGGGCGGGUGUUACAGUCGCCGGACAGGUAGAGCCGAUCCCCGAGGCCGACCGGUGACGAGAGAGAUUCUCGCGGCGAGGCGCUUCCCCCUCGGGGGAAGCCGGCGAGUCGCGGUCAG